GUGCCAGCCGCCGCGGUAAUACCGGCAGCCCGAGUGAUGGCCGAUCUUAUUGGGCCUAAAGCGUCCGUAGCUGGCCGCGCAAGUCCAUCGGGAAAUCCACCCGCCCAACGGGUGGCCGUCCGGUGGAAACUGCACGGCUUGGGACCGGAAGGCGCGACGGGUACGUCCAGGGUAGGAGUGAAAUCCUGUAAUCCCGUCCGGACCACCGAUGGCGAAAGCACUUCGAGAAAACGGAUCCGACAGUGAGGGACGAAAGCUAAGAUCGCGAACCGGAUUAGAUACCCCUGUAGUCC
This 293-nucleotide ribosomal RNA is filed under the name uncultured bacterium. RNAcentral's name for it is "partial 16S ribosomal RNA". It matches the Rfam family "Archaeal small subunit ribosomal RNA", at positions 455 to 747 of the family's 1478-position model. The record is from RNAcentral.